UCUUCUGUCCUGGUUAAGUGGCCUCACUUCGCAGGGCUUCCAAAGAGCACAACCAGGCAGCAUCACCUGAGUCCAGGCUCAAACUCCUGGUGUCAGCUGCUGCAUCCCCUGUCCCUGGAGCCCAGGAGUGGGACAGCCUGGAAGCCAGGCAGAGAAAAGCUGUGAGAGGUAAAGCAGGAGGAGUAAGGACUGGAACUGGCUUAAGAAUAAAGAGUGAAAGUAAGAGUACAGCUGGAUAAUGGGGUUUGCCAUGUCAGAUCAGGACAGAAAAAGAUUUGGGUCCAUGGUUACAUCCAUUCCUGAGCCCCAAGAGCUGGAAGCCAGCCAGGGUUGAUCAGAGACUCCAACCUUCUCCUGCUUCCUCACUGGAAAUCACUACCUGCCACCUCAGGAACUGCUGAAAUAUGUUCUCCACACCUCCUCUGAGCUCCCCACCCUCAGAAGCCUCCUUGGAUUUCCAAUUUAAUUCCUCCAGGGAGAGUGUGCCUGAAAGAAAGAAGCAUAAGCUUACUAAAUGAAUCUCUUAAUCACUGUCAUUUUAGUCCUAAAAAACCUAGCAAAAACAAAGGUAUAAUUUCUGCACACAAAUGGAAGUCCAGCAGUGAAUUUCCCCUCUGAUCACAUCCCUCUGGAGAAAUCUUUCUUGAUGAGCUGAUUUUUAUACAUCUAUAAAGCACAUUUUCUUUGAUAUUUUCAACGCUCAGCAAGGUGAAAAUGCUGGUCAAAAAUGGUUUAUUUCUAUGCAGAGAGAAAAGCAAUGUGUGCCCAAGCUUUGAAGUCUUGACUAAACCACAGUAUUCUCCGGAGGUGCUGAGCUCAGGUUGUUCUGGUGGAUCAGGCUUUAACCUGCUAAGACUGAGAGGACAUUUAAACUCCUGAUGGUGUUAAAGUUGUCCCAUGUUCCCAGCUGGUCAAAAUUUUGGUGCACCCAAUAUGAAAUAUCAUAGUUAAAUUAAUCUGAAUUAAUAAAAUGUGAUUUAUUCUGCAUUUUAAAGGGUCAUAACACACUCAGGGGGCAUGAGGCAGAAGGAAUACACCUUUCUCCUUAUGUUGGAGCUCACAGCAUUUAACCAUGUUCAAGUUUGGCCUGGUGAUCCUGUGCCCCCCUGGUGAGUGAAGUGCCUGUGGUGAAUCUGGGAUUUUGGACAAACUGGCAUAGAUAUUGUCUCCUUGCAGCUAAUUGUCCUGAGAUAAAUCUUUCUAUGAGGAAAUAGCUCUGCCUACAAAAGAAAUAAGUGAUUUGUGAAGGAAAGGCUGCAAUGAAAAAGCAGAAAGCUCAAUAGUGCAGUGAGUUACCUGAAAAUAGAGGAGGAAUGGCAGGAACUGAAAGCAGAGCCCCACUUUUCAUCCAUGCAGUGGGCUCGCCACACCAGGGGAAUGUUCUCCCAGAUUUGUGCAACAAAAGGAAUGUAAAGAAGCCCCACCAUCCUCUGCUUCCUCCCCCAGCUGGAUUAAAAUUGUGCAUUCAGAAAGCGAGCCGGGAUGGAUUCCAUGUAAUAAAUUCUGUUUGAAAGCUGGAAGGUUUGCAGCUAGCAGAGGAGGGAAGCUCUGGGACAGCCUUCAGCAAGAGGAGUGGGUGGCAGGCAGCAGCCUGAUGGGUUUUAUGAUGAAGCUUGAUCAGGUUUCGAGUGGGUUUGCAUGGAACAGUUGCCCAAGAUAGCAGGGACUGGAUGCUAUGACCUUUGAGGGCUCUUUCCAUCACAUGUUCCCUGCAAUUCCAAUGAAAUCAUGGGGUAUAACAGACAUAGUUCAAUAUUUUUCUGUUUCAUGGAAGGUACUUUAGUUUACACCAGCUGAGAAUUGCCCUAGUGUGGCCAAAGCCAAGGCUGGCAAUCUUUAAUCCUUGACACGUGUGACAACACCUCAGUCCUCUCAGCCCCCACCUGGCUUCCUGAUAAUACCAAGGAUGGCUUUAUUCUGCAGGGCCUUUUUCUAUUGUAGAGAUGUCAGCAAUGGCCUAUCUGGUGCCACAUUCAAAUAGAUAUUUCUCCCUUUGUCUGGCAAUAAAAGAUACCUUGAAAGAGCAAGGAUGGUGGUGAGAGUGUCAGGUGGGGUCACGAGGCGCAGGCAUUCCACAAAAGGGAACAAAAUAACAAUGAGAAAAUACCUCAAAAUACUUUCCAGAUAUAGCAGCCUAAUUAAUACAGCUAUUGUUUGCUCAGUGGCUGAACCUCCUUUUCCUGUGCUUGGAAAUGACUGCUGGGGAAUUAGAAGGAU
Molecule: long non-coding RNA, 2217 nt
Organism: Passer domesticus (house sparrow)
Lineage: Eukaryota; Metazoa; Chordata; Aves; Passeriformes; Passeridae
Exons: 2
Source: RefSeq, a predicted model, not a curated record